This 429-nucleotide ribosomal RNA is filed under the name Actinomycetes bacterium. RNAcentral's name for it is "Actinobacteria bacterium partial 16S ribosomal RNA". It matches the Rfam family "Bacterial small subunit ribosomal RNA", at positions 355 to 776 of the family's 1533-position model. Lineage: Bacteria; Bacillati; Actinomycetota; Actinomycetes. The record is from RNAcentral.
UAGGGAAUCUUCCGCAAUGGGCGAAAGCCUGACGGAGCAACGCCGCGUGAGUGAUGAAGGUCUUCGGAUCGUAAAACUCUGUUAUUAGGGAAGAACAAAUGUGUAAGUAACUAUGCACGUCUUGACGGUACCUAAUCAGAAAGCUACGGCUAACUACGUGCCAGCAGCCGCGGUAAUACGUAGGUGGCAAGCGUUAUCCGGAAUUAUUGGGCGUAAAGCGCGCGUAGGCGGUUUUUUAAGUAUGAUGUGAAAGCCCACGGCUCAACCGUGGAGGGUCAUUGGAAACUGGAAAACUUGAGUGCAGAAGAGGAAAGUGGAAUUCCAUGUGUAGCGGUGAAAUGCGCAGAGAUAUGGAGGAACACCAGUGGCGAAGGCGACUUUCUGGUCUGUAACUGACGCUGAUGUGCGAAAGCGUGGGGAUCAAACAGG